Molecule: non-coding RNA, 96 nt
Organism: Spinacia oleracea (spinach)
Lineage: Eukaryota; Viridiplantae; Streptophyta; Magnoliopsida; Caryophyllales; Amaranthaceae
Source: Rfam
ACAUUGCUAACUGGUGGUGGAGCAGCUUUACGCGGCCUUGACCAGUCAUGUCUUCAGACAAAGUCCAAGCCGCCCGAAUUUUCAGGCGGCUUUUUU